GUUGGUUUCUCCUCCAUGGAAGCAUGGUUCCAACAAAGCCCCAUUAUCCUAAUUGGAUUAUCAGGGAGGUUAGAGUUGGCUAAAGGCUCAACUACUACUGAUUACGAGGCAGUUGGUAACUAGGUCGAGGUGCCUUUGCAGACUCGACUAUUGGUAGGUGUCUCGGAAUUUAGUAGCUAUAUGUUCAUCGAGUUUUUUCGCUAGACAUCGAGUCUCUUUUUGACAUGUAUAGACAAAUCUGAUGUUAAUUAUUAGAGUACAUACUGUAGACAAUGUAUGUAUAUUUUAAACGAGUAACGCUAGUACGAGUUGGC
This is a non-coding RNA of Theobroma cacao (cacao), 314 nucleotides long. NCBI's taxonomy places the organism in Eukaryota, Viridiplantae, Streptophyta, Magnoliopsida, Malvales, Malvaceae. The record is from RefSeq and is a predicted model, not a curated record.